GAGUUUGAUCCUGGCUCAGAACGAACGCUGGCGGCGUGCCUAACACAUGCAAGUCGAACGGAUUUGAGGGGCUUGCUCCUCAAGUUAGUGGCGCACGGGUGAGUAACGCGUAGAUAAUCUGCCUGAUGAUCUGGGAUAACACUUCGAAAGGGGUGCUAAUACCGGAUAAGCCCACGGGGUCUUUGGAUUCUGCGGGAAAAGGGGGGGACUUUCGGGCCUUCUGUCAUCAGAUGAGUCUGCGUACCAUUAGCUAGUUGGUAGGGUAAUGGCCUACCAAGGCUACGAUGGUUAGCUGGUUUGAGAGAAUGAUCAGCCACACUGGAACUGAGACACGGUCCAGACUCCUACGGGAGGCAGCAGUGGGGAAUUUUGCGCAAUGGGCGAAAGCCUGACGCAGCAACGCCGCGUGAGUGAUGAAGGCUUUCGGGUCGUAAAGCUCUGUCGAGGGGAAAGAAGUGUAUUGUGGCUAAUAUCCACGAUACUUGACGGUACCCCUAAAGGAAGCACCGGCUAACUCCGUGCCAGCAGCCGCGGUAAUAC
This 540-nucleotide ribosomal RNA is filed under the name uncultured Geobacteraceae bacterium. RNAcentral's name for it is "bacterial SSU rRNA". It matches the Rfam family "Bacterial small subunit ribosomal RNA", at positions 9 to 526 of the family's 1533-position model. Lineage: Bacteria; Pseudomonadati; Thermodesulfobacteriota; Desulfuromonadia; Geobacterales; Geobacteraceae. The record is from RNAcentral.